This 253-nucleotide ribosomal RNA is filed under the name uncultured bacterium. RNAcentral describes it as "partial 16S ribosomal RNA". It matches the Rfam family "Bacterial small subunit ribosomal RNA", at positions 524 to 776 of the family's 1533-position model. The record is from RNAcentral.
GACAGAGGGUGCAAACGUUGUUCGGAUUUACUGGGCGUAAAGCGCGUGUAGGCGGCUUUGCAAGUCGGAUGCGAAAGCCCACGGCUCAACCGUGGAAGUGCAUCCGAAACUGCAUGGCUUGAGUCUCGGAGAGGAAGGUGGAAUGCUUGGUGUAGAGGUGAAAUUCGUAGAUAUCAAGCAGAACACCUGCGGCGAAGGCGGCCUUCUGGACGAUGACUGACGCUGAGACGCGAAAGCGUGGGGAGCAAACAGG